GACGAACGCUGGCGGCGUGCCUAAUACAUGCAAGUAGAACGCUGAAGAGAGGAGCUUGCUCUUCUCGGAUGAGUUGCGAACGGGUGAGUAACGCGUAGGUAACCUGCCUUGUAGCGGGGGACAACUAUUGGAAACGAUAGCUAAUACCGCAUAACAAUGGAUGACACAUGUCAUUUAUUCGAAAGGGGCAAUUGCUCCACUACAAGAUGGACCUGCGUUGUAUUAGCUAGUAGGUGAGGUAAUGGCUCACCUAGGCGACGAUACAUAGCCGACCUGAGAGGAUGAUCAGCCGCACUGGGAAGAGGACGCGGCCCAGCCCCCUGCGUGAGACAGCAGUAGGGAAUCUUCGGCAAUGAGGGCGAGCGUGACCGAGCAACGCCGCGAGAGUGUGGAGGAGUUUCGGCUCGUGGAGCUCGGUUGUAAGCGGGGAGCGGGUGUGUGAGUGGGAAGUUCACGCUGUGACGGUAGCUGACCAAAAAGGGACGGCUAACUACGUG
RNAcentral lists this ribosomal RNA (497 nucleotides) under uncultured bacterium. RNAcentral describes it as "partial 16S ribosomal RNA". It matches the Rfam family "Bacterial small subunit ribosomal RNA", at positions 28 to 507 of the family's 1533-position model. The record is from RNAcentral.